Molecule: long non-coding RNA, 1164 nt
Organism: Prunus dulcis (almond)
Lineage: Eukaryota; Viridiplantae; Streptophyta; Magnoliopsida; Rosales; Rosaceae
Exons: 5
Source: RefSeq, a predicted model, not a curated record
UUUUUCCUUUUCCUUUUAUUGUUUUUGGCUCUUAAAUCAAUUGUACAUUUAACUUAAUUAUUUGUUAUGUUUCUUUUUUCUUCUUUUUUUCAUAACAUACAGUGAAUGUUAUGACAUAAUGAUCCUAAUUCUUUCCCCGUUACGACAUAAUGAUUUCUAAUAUUUAUGUUUAAAUCUCUAGUUGACUACAUACAGUUGUAGCUACCAGAUUCAAUAGUCUGAGAAAAUAUCAUCCUGAAAUGCGAAAUAGUUGAAAGUGGUGUGAAUUGUUGUUGAGAAAAUGAUCCUCAACUCAAGUUAGUGAGUGACUCUGCUUCUAAAGUCAUUUCUUUUUCCCUUGAGACAAGUGUUGGUGUGGAGAGUUGAUUGAAGAAAAGGUGUCCCUUCCCUACAGCCUACAGCCUGCAGCCUACAGCCUACAGGUAGGGUCUAUCGUUAUUUUGGCAUAAUUUCGAGGUGGGUUUUUUAUUUGUUACCUGAAGGAGCGUUUUUUAUAAUGGGAACAAACAGAGUCCAGAUUGGCAUCUGAACAAGUAGAACCUGUUAAGGACCUCCACAAGUUGCACCAAUGGAUUGAAAAUCAAGGCUUGAUACAGACUGCAGGGACAAAUGCUCCAAGGCCAAAUGGUGGAGCUCUUGAAUUUUUUUGAAUUUGUUGUUGUUGGAGAUGAAUGUGAUGGAGCGAAACCAUUUCCUGACCCUUUCGCAUUUGAGGAUUCUGUUUCAGGGGUGAAAGCUGGAGUAGCAGCUGGAAUGCCAGUAGUGGCCUUCGUUAUUGAAGAGACUUUGAGGACCCAAAAUUGUGGGAAGCACUGGAAGAGAUUGAGAGGAAGGCGGAGUAACAACAGUUGCAACUUGAAAUGGCAAUCACAUAAGCUUUUCUAUUUCUGUUCCUGUACUGCUUAGUCAUUCGGACACCCCCAGUGGAAUUUAUUUGUUCGUUGUAAAUUUUGAGAUAAUACGCUUAAUUAGUGAAAUUGAGGGCCAUAACGAGAAAAUUUUUCAAAUGUGAAAUUGAUUGUUUGGAAUUGGCAAGCAGCAAGGUGGGAUGGGAUUAUAUUUAGUUGCAGGUCCUGGUGGUUAAAGUAAAUUCACAAUGUAAGUUUCUUGUAAAAUUCAGGAAUUUGAUAAUAAUUAAGAUCCUCGUGAUAAACCGCUCAUUUA